RNAcentral lists this ribosomal RNA (498 nucleotides) under uncultured bacterium. Its description in RNAcentral is "partial 16S ribosomal RNA". It matches the Rfam family "Bacterial small subunit ribosomal RNA", at positions 28 to 507 of the family's 1533-position model. The record is from RNAcentral.
GACGAACGCUGGCGGCGUGCCUAAUACAUGCAAGUCGAACGAGAGCGGCCGGUGCUUGCACUGGUCAAUCUAGUGGCGAGCGGGUGAGUAACACGUGGGUAACCUGCCCAUCAGAGGGGGAUAACAUCCGGAAACGGAUGCUAAAACCGCAUAGGUCUUCGAGCCGCAUGGCUUGAAGAGGAAAAGAGGCGCAAGCUUCUGCUGAUGGAUGGACCCGCGGUGCAUUAGCUAGUUGGUGAGGUAACGGCUCACCAAGGCCGUGAUGCAUAGCCGACCUGAGAGGGUGAUCGGCCACAUUGGGACUGAGACACGGCCCAAACUCCUACGGGAGGCAGCAGUAGGGAAUCUUCCGCAAUGGACGCAAGUCUGACGGAGCAACGCCGCGUGAGUGAAGAAGGUUUUCGGAUCGUAAAACUCUGUUGUUAGAGAAGAACAAGUGCUAGAGUAACUGUUAGCGCCUUGACGGUAUCUAACCAGAAAGCCACGGCUAACUACGUG